UCAAAGACAAAUGCAAUAACAUUCACAAUUCACUACUUCACCCAAAAUUCACUACCAAACACCAAACACACAAUCAACAACACCAACAAUUUCACGACCAACACCCAUUUCAAAGCAUUAACCAUAAUCAACAGCCAAUUCACGAAUUGGAUAAAUAAUUAACAAAAUUAGGGCAUAGUACACUUACCAAUUCACGCAACACCAAGGAGCAAAAACUACUUCACCGGCGUCGCAACAAGCUUGGUGAACAAAGCAGCGUCUUUCCGGCAACAACCGCGGCUCCGGCGAGUAUACAAGUGGCGGAGACCAGACUUGGGAGGGAGUCAGUGUGUUUUGGUGUUCGUGGGAAUGUCUGAGAGUGAGUUGUAAAGAGGGAAUUCUACUGCCUUGAUAAAUCGAAGAGGAAGACUGAUUUUGUAAAAAAAAAAAGCAUUCAGUGUAAACCGCUACUUCAGGUGGCGGUUUACUUAAACAAAAAAGUAGCGGUUUUUCAGUGAUAAACCGCUACUUCAAGUAGCGAUCUACUAAAAAAAAACGGUUCAACUUUUUUUUUUUUCAUGAACCGGUGACUUAGACGGUAUUCAGGGAUUAUAAAUAAAAGCGAUUGUAUUUACGGAAUUGCAAUUGUUCUCCACUAUAUUUUUUGGGAAAGAGCUCUCUUUUUCCUUCUCCAUUACCUGUUUUUACUCUCUGCCUUUCAUUCGCUUUUCUUUUUCCCAUAUUGCUUUCUCUCUCCUCCUUCUCCCCCAAUUCUCGACGGCGUUGGUAAUGGCGGCUGAAUGCUCAAUUUUUUUAUUUCCUUCUCUUUCAUUAGCGGUGGGGCCGGCGACUACUUAAUAGCCUCUCCGACCAGAACGUAGCGGCGGAGGCUGCUGUUGCUUUGGAUGGGGGGCAUAGAAGAAGUCAUUUGGAGUAUAAUGUUUCGAUUAAGGCGAAAAUUGAGAAGUUUAAUGAGGAAUUGGUCGUUAAUGGAUCAAAUGAUGAUGGGUUAGUGGUCGAGAUUGAGGCUGAGAAAGCUGAAGUUAAUGGGGAUGUUUUAGUGAGAGAGAAUAUUGAGAGUGAAGAUUUCUAUGACCUGCAGGAAUCUAUGAGUUUUUCGGCUUCGGCUGGUAGCGAGGAUUACGAUGGUGAGAGGUCGGCUAGGGGUAACACCCCCAUGGGAGGAGAGUUUUAUGAUGCUUGAAAAGGGUUUUGGAAGUGUGAAAAGCUAAUCUAUUGACUGAAUUGAGGAUUAAGAAGUUGAUUGUGUCAAUUUGGUUUAUUUGAGUUGAUUUAUUAAGUGGGGUUUGUUUGAUUUUUGAGGUACCCAUUUUUUUUUUAUAUUUUUUGGAUUCAAUUGUAGUUUAAAAUUGAUCAGAUUUUUCUAGGUUUGAAAAUUUUGGAUCUGGGUGUGAUGAUUUGCUGAUAAUUUUUCAUGCUUUUAAGGGUUUUGGAAGUGUGAGAAGCUUCUAUUGACUGAAUUGAGGAGCAAGAAGUUGAUUGUGUGUGUGAAGGUAAUUGUGUAGAUAAAUGGGAUGGGAUCUCAAGGGUCUAAACUCGAAAUGUGUUGCUUAGGUUCACCUAAUAGGACGGUAGUGCUUGAGGCUCCUGAUGUUGGUAGGUCAAGCAGUUUCUCAACAUUUUAAGCAUAGUCAUUUUCUUGAGUGUGUGUUUGUUUUCGGAGAAUUCCAGUCUGAUUUGAGAUCAUGUUUUGUGAAAGGCAAUGAGGAUGAUAAUGGGUUUGGGUUAUUUGCAUUCCGCGAGUUCGCAUAUGAACUACUUAAAAAUGCCACAUCAGGUUUUGCAGUUGAGAACAUUGUGUCUGAGCAUGGUGAAAAAGCCCCGAAUGUGGUGUAUAAAGGGAAACUAGAGAACCAGACUAAAAUUGUCGUUGAGCGUUUUAAUAGAAGUGCAUGUCCUGAUUCUUACCAUUUUUUGGUAAGGAUGCUCUCUUAUUGUCCUUUGAUCCAAAUCACAUACCGUGCUUUACCUUCCAUACGAGUGGUUCUUUGAGUUUUGUCAUGCUUUAGUAGGCACUCAUGUUUGAAAUUUUAAUCUAAUGAACAUAGUGAAUUAGCAGAUGAUUGGCAUGUCAUUUAUCUGCUCUCCUCUUCUCUUGAUUAUAAUGUUACUUCUUGAGAGAAAAGACCUAAUGAAUUGUUUAUGGCUGCACUGUGUUAGCUCAGAAUUAAUUGCUUAGGGAAUAUAUAAAUGGUUGCUGAAAAUCGAUAGUAAUCUCUAACUUUUAAGGCUGAAUGCUUUCAUUUAAUCUUUUGGGUAUGUGGUACUAUUCCCGUUGUUUGAGAUUAAUUUUUCCUGGUAGUAAUAUGAGCAGGUAGCAUUCAGGACAAAGGUAUUUCACCCAAUAUCAACAGCAAUGGAAGCAUUUGCUUAGACAUCUUGAAGGACACAGGCUGUGGGGAUAGCAUGGCCAACAAUUCGAUCUUGCAAAAGAAUACCUUGGCAUCUAUUUCUACGAAGAGCAAAAUGCAGACGGAGGAGAUAUUGAGAGUUGCAUGCCUUUAUGUCAAGGUUAACAUGAACGCUAAAUGGACGAUGUUCUUUACUUGAGGAAAGUUGACCUCCAAAACAAUAGAAACUAUAUGGAUCUCUCUUCUGCAUCUAGAGAAGAUGUUCAGCUUCUUUAUAAAUGACGACUUGCCUUGAACAAGGAUCACUUUGCUGGGCUACCAGGAGUACAAGCAUGAACAACCAAUUCAGGUAGAGUGUAAAGAACUAUUUUAUAGAGAACUGCAACCGCUUGGUGGUUCCCGUGCUGAAAAGCUUCUGCCAGGAUGUUCAACUUUGGAGGAGGUAAGUUGUUUUAGAAAGCCGCUAGGUUUCUGGUGGGUUGUGGUGUGCUGUGGAGUUCGAUUAUGGUUUGGCUUGGUUUUGUUGAGGUAAGUGUUAUGGUGUGCCUUGAUUUAGGUGUUCUAGGUAAAUUGCUAUUCAAUUAGCUUUCUUAUCAACUUUGGUUAUUAUAGCAAUUUAUUAGGGAUCUAGGUUUUUAAUUGGUUGAUUCUGAUGUGAAAUUGUGAGAUGGGUUUUUGGGGACUGGGUUGAAGAAAUUUGAGGGAUUUUGUUGGUUUUGUACCUUAAAACAGUCAAUUUAGGUAAUAUGAUUGUCUGUCCGGCCAUAAAUCCAAUUUAGUUAUCAGAGUACUGAAAUACAGAGUAUGCAGUAUUUAUAUUGUUGUUAUACAGAAAAUUGGCGUCAAACUAUUGAAUUCGAAAUAAAUUUAAAUAAAAAAGAAAUCAAAAAUCAAAGAACAUAAGUUUGAUACUAUUAAUCGUAUAAGUUUGAUACCGUUGAAUUGCAAUUUUAAUGUUUUGUGUAUUUACAUUCUUCACUUUCAUCUCAGUUGGCAUUUAACAGUUGAUAAUUUGGAAACCAAGGCCUUGAAGUCAAUGCAUGCAUGUUUAAUGUCCGGAAGUUAUACUCGGAUUGGACUUGCUGCACAAGAGGAUGUAUGUUCAUCGAAAACCAAAACAAAGGCAGAAAAUUGAACUAAGAAUUACUCAUAAGCUGCUCAGUACAUGAUCAUGGUUGUGGCUGCGUAAAACAAGAGCUGAUCAUUAUCAUUGUUUUUCGUAGGAGCUGUAGUGAGUGCUGACUUCUUUUGGCUCAUUUACCUUAGUUACAGCUGCUUUUUAGGUGAUUCUUUUUUUGAAUUUGGGUAUUUUUUUGUCUACUUUCUGCUUUUUAGGUGAUUCUUUUUCUUGUAAAAUUUCAGAAUUUUUGGAGAGUAUUUGCUAUUAAACUUGGGCGGAUUAGUUCAAACUGGUCAGUUUUGGUUCGAA
Molecule: long non-coding RNA, 3780 nt
Organism: Chenopodium quinoa (quinoa)
Lineage: Eukaryota; Viridiplantae; Streptophyta; Magnoliopsida; Caryophyllales; Amaranthaceae
Exons: 5
Source: RefSeq, a predicted model, not a curated record